Molecule: long non-coding RNA, 620 nt
Filed under: Gallus gallus (chicken)
Lineage: Eukaryota; Metazoa; Chordata; Aves; Galliformes; Phasianidae
Description: long non-coding RNA NONGGAT009168
Source: RNAcentral
AGCCAUGCCAGCCUACCCAAAUGUGAGUUCUUGCUAUUGAGGUAACCUACAGGAACUGAAGGAGCAAGAACCAUCCUCAAGGGAGCCCCAGGAGAUCAAAUGUCACGAUCGAGUCAUCACUGAGCCUGGGGUGGUCUUGAAUUGCAGUUGAUUCCAGCAGGAAGGGAGCAAUGAGAUCCCCCCACCACAGUGGAACACUGGCACUGAUGCCAAGGUGGAGUAUUUUUGCAAGCUGGGGCAGAUGGGCAGAGCCUACAUCUGGAAGGCCAACAGUCGACAGAAAAAUCACACCCAGCAGCUGGUCCCCAAGGAUGCUUUUGUAACUUUCUGGUCUCAAGGGCUCUGCAUACGAAGCCCAAAGCUCCCGCAUAGUACUGUCAGACGCACAAGGACAAAAAACACCCAGCAUUAACCCUAACACCCAGCCUUGUCGUUGUGCCAUCAGGGAUGUCUUUAACAUCAGCGUUAACAACCAGCCCAAGUAAAACAUCACCACAGCUGCACCAAGACAAGGGGUGGGCAUGGAAGCGAGGGAGAAGAGACCUCUGUCUGUGGGCAGUUUCACUUGGUCUCUUGAAAGGAUGUAUUUCCUUGGUCCUAAAUGGGAUUUGCUUUAGCUC